Molecule: ribosomal RNA, 429 nt
Filed under: Bacteroidota bacterium
Lineage: Bacteria; Pseudomonadati; Bacteroidota
Description: Bacteroidetes bacterium partial 16S ribosomal RNA
Rfam family: Bacterial small subunit ribosomal RNA
Source: RNAcentral
UAGGGAAUCUUCGGCAAUGGGGGGAACCCUGACCGAGCAACGCCGCGUGAGUGAAGAAGGUUUUCGGAUCGUAAAACUCUGUUGUUAGAGAAGAACAGCGCAUAGAGUAACUGUUAUGCGUGUGACGGUAUCUAACCAGAAAGCCACGGCUAACUACGUGCCAGCAGCCGCGGUAAUACGUAGGUGGCAAGCGUUGUCCGGAUUUAUUGGGCGUAAAGCGAGCGCAGGCGGUCAAUUAAGCCUGAUGUGAAAGCCCCCGGCUCAACCGGGGAGGGUCAUUGGAAACUGGUUGACUUGAGUGCAGAAGAGGAGAGUGGAAUUCCAUGUGUAGCGGUGAAAUGCGCAGAGAUAUGGAGGAACACCAGUGGCGAAGGCGACUUUCUGGUCUGUAACUGACGCUGAUGUGCGAAAGCGUGGGGAUCAAACAGG